GGACGCGUAGCUCAGCGGGAGAGCACUACGUUGACAUCGUAGGGGUCACAGGUUCAAUCCCUGUCACGCCCACCA
RNAcentral lists this transfer RNA (75 nucleotides) under Agrobacterium sp. RNAcentral describes it as "tRNA-Val". It matches the Rfam family "tRNA". From Rfam's summary of the family: Transfer RNA (tRNA) molecules are approximately 80 nucleotides in length. The record is from RNAcentral. Lineage: Bacteria; Pseudomonadati; Pseudomonadota; Alphaproteobacteria; Hyphomicrobiales; Rhizobiaceae. RNAcentral also lists the same sequence under 1 other name.